GACGAACCGUGCAAACGUUGUUCGGAAUCACUGGGCUUAAAGGGCGCGUAGGCGGUUCGCUAAGUCGGUGGUGAAAUACUUCGGCUCAACCGGAGAAUUGCCGCUGAAACUAGCGGGCUGGAGGGAGGUAGAGGUGCAUGGAACUUCCGGUGGAGCGGUGAAAUGCGUUGAUAUCGGAAGGAACGCCGGUGGCGAAAGCGGUGCACUGGACCUCUUCUGACGCUGAGGCGCGAAAGCUAGGGGAGCGAACGGG
This 253-nucleotide ribosomal RNA is filed under the name uncultured bacterium. RNAcentral describes it as "partial 16S ribosomal RNA". It matches the Rfam family "Bacterial small subunit ribosomal RNA", at positions 524 to 776 of the family's 1533-position model. The record is from RNAcentral.